This 67-nucleotide small nucleolar RNA is filed under the name Carlito syrichta (Philippine tarsier). Lineage: Eukaryota; Metazoa; Chordata; Mammalia; Primates; Tarsiidae. The record is from RNAcentral.
CAGGUACAUGAAAAAAUAACCUCUCUCACGACCAUGAGAUCAACCCCAUGCACCACUCUGAGACCUG